RNAcentral lists this ribosomal RNA (445 nucleotides) under uncultured bacterium. RNAcentral describes it as "bacterial SSU rRNA". It matches the Rfam family "Bacterial small subunit ribosomal RNA", at positions 330 to 792 of the family's 1533-position model. The record is from RNAcentral.
GCCAGACUCCUACGGGAGGCAGCAGUGGGGAAUAUUGCACAAUGGGGGAAACCCUGAUGCAGCAACGCCGCGUGGGUGAAGAAGUAUUUCGGUAUGUAAAGCCCUAUCAGCAGGGAAGAGAAUGACGGUACCUGACUAAGAAGCCCCGGCUAACUACGUGCCAGCAGCCGCGGUAAUACGUAGGGGGCAAGCGUUAUCCGGAUUUACUGGGUGUAAAGGGAGCGUAGACGGUUGUGCAAGUCUGAAGUGAAAGCCCGCGGCUCAACUGCGGAACGGCUUUGGAAACUGUGUAACUGGAGUGCUGGAGAGGUAAGCGGAAUUCCUGGUGUAGCGGUGAAAUGCGUAGAGAUCAGGAGGAACACCGGCGGCGAAGGCGGCUUACUAGACAGUAACUGACGUUGAGGCUCGAAAGCGUGGGGGGCAAACAGGAUUAGAUACCCCGGUA